Molecule: long non-coding RNA, 350 nt
Organism: Ornithodoros turicata
Lineage: Eukaryota; Metazoa; Arthropoda; Arachnida; Ixodida; Argasidae
Exons: 4
Source: RefSeq, a predicted model, not a curated record
ACCGCCAGAUAGACUUCUACGUCCGGUGCGAUGAAGCCUACAUUUUUGGCUUAUGAAAGUGCCUCCAGGCACAUCCAUCCAUGUAUUGUCUUCUCUCUACUGGAGUGCUCAUCUACAGAAACGUUCACCUUCGCAAUGGAUAACAAGAGCAAGCCGCCAUUCUACAUUUUCAAACGUUUGUGCCCCUUACGCAUGAUAGCUCGCACGAGGAUCGACCAUCUCUGAUUGCAGCAAGCACAAAUAAGAUGCAAGUGGCUCGAGGCACCUUGACAUCUGCUCGCAGAGACAGACCGCCCUUUUUCAAAUGUCACGUCACGCCCGUCUGGACGCAUAACGCAAGAAGUACUGCA